RNAcentral lists this ribosomal RNA (1317 nucleotides) under metagenome. RNAcentral describes it as "bacterial LSU rRNA". It matches the Rfam family "Bacterial large subunit ribosomal RNA", at positions 1563 to 2925 of the family's 2925-position model. The record is from RNAcentral.
GGAUUGGGAGGGUUCUACGGAACCCGUUUGGUGAAUCUAGUGCCGAGAAAAGCCUUCUAUGUGUUGAAUUUCUAGUACCCGUACCCCAAACCGACACAGGUGGGUGGGUAGAGCAUACCUAGGGGCGCGUGAUAGCUCUCUCUAAGGAACUCGGCAAAAUGGCCCUGUAACUUCGGGAUAAGGGGUGCCUGCGUGAGCAGGCCGCAGUGAAAUGGCUCUGGCGACUGUUUACCAAAAACACAGGUCUCUGCUAAGUCGUAAGACGAUGUAUAGGGGCUGACUCCUGCCCAGUGCCGGAAGGUUAAGGAAGUUGGUUAGCGCAAGCGAAGCUGGCGACCGAAGCCCCGGUGAACGGCGGCCGUAACCAUAACGGUCCUAAGGUAGCGAAAUUCCUUGUCGGGUAAGUUCCGACCCGCACGAAAGGAGUAACGAUCAGAGCGCUGUCUCGGAGACAGACACGGCGAAAUAGGAUUGUCCGUGAAGAUACGGACUACCUGCACCCGGACAGAAAGACCCUAUGAAGCUUUACUGUAACUUGGAAUUGUGUUCGGACUUUGUCUGCGCAGAAUAGGUGGGAGGCUAUGAAACGUUCCUCGCGGGGAACUGGAGCCAUCGUUGAGAUACCACUCUGGCAGAGUCUGGAUUCUAACCUACGGGGACAGUUCCAGGUGGGCAGUUUGACUGGGGCGGUCGCCUCCUAAAAUGUAACGGAGGCGCGCAAAGGUUCCCUCAGGCUGGUUGGAAAUCAGCCAUAGAGUAAAAGCAUAAGGGAGCUUGACUGUGAGACCUACAAGUCGAGCAGGGACGAAAGUCGGCUUUAGUGAUCCGACGGCACUGAGUGGAAGGGCCGUCGCUCAACGGAUAAAAGUUACUCUAAGGAUAACAGGCUGAUCUCACCCAAGAGUUCGCAUCGACGGGGAGGUUUGGCACCUCGAUGUCGGCUCGUCGCAACCUGGGGCGGUAGUACGUCCCAAGGGUUGGGCUGUUCGCCCAUUAAAGCGGCACGUGAGCUGGGUUCAGAACGUCGUGAGACAGUUCGGUCCAUAUCCGGUGUAGGCGUAGGAGCAUUGAAAGGAUCUCUCCUUAGUACGAGAGGACCGGGAGGGACGUACCUCUGGUGUACCUGUUAUCGUGCCAACGGUAAACGCAGGGUAGCCAUGUACGGAGUGGAUAACCGCUGAAAGCAUCUAAGUGGGAAGCCCACCUUAAGAUGAGUGCUCCCUUGAGGCCACGGGAAGACGACCCGUUUGAUAGGCGCUAGGUGGAAGUGCAGUAAUGCAUGCAGCCGAGGCGUACUAAUAGGCCGAUGGCUUGUCC